AUGGAGGGUCUCCUUCACUGGGAUUUUGGCCCUGGCCUUGCCUUGGCCGACCAGGUGAGAAGAAAAUUUGGAUCUACUAUUCAUUUCUCUCCCUCCCAAGACCUCAAGGAGUUCUUCUUGGUGGUUUCUUUCUUGUCAGUUUCUUUCCCACUCUCUAUUGAAUCUGUGGGCAUUGCUCUACAAUGUUGUCUCGGU
Molecule: ribosomal RNA, 195 nt
Filed under: Triticum aestivum (bread wheat)
Lineage: Eukaryota; Viridiplantae; Streptophyta; Magnoliopsida; Poales; Poaceae
Description: partial small subunit ribosomal RNA
Source: RNAcentral